CCUACGGGUGGCAGCAGUGAGGAAUAUUGGUCAAUGGACGCAAGUCUGAACCAGCCAUGCCGCGUGCAGGAAGACGGCUCUAUGAGUUGUAAACUGCUUUUGUACGAGGGUAAACGCAGAUACGCGUAUCUGUCUGAAUGUAUCCUACGAAUAAGGAUCGGCUAACUCCGUGCCAGCAGCCGCGGGAAUAUGGAGGAUUCAAGCGUUAUCCGGAUUUAUUGGGUUUAAAGGGUGCGUAGGCGGUCGGAUAAGUUAGAGGGGAAAUCCCGGGGCUCAACUUCGGAAUUGCCUCUGAUACUGUUGGGCUAGAGAGUAGGUGCGGUAGGCGGAAUGUAUGGUGUAGCGGUGAAAUGCUUAGAGAUCAUACAGAACACCGAUUGCGAAGGCAGCUUACCGGGCUACUUCUGACGUUGAGGCGCGAAAGCGUGGGGAGCAAACAGGAUUAGAUACCCUUGUAGUC
RNAcentral lists this ribosomal RNA (460 nucleotides) under uncultured bacterium. Its description in RNAcentral is "partial 16S ribosomal RNA". It matches the Rfam family "Bacterial small subunit ribosomal RNA", at positions 338 to 795 of the family's 1533-position model. The record is from RNAcentral.